Peromyscus maniculatus bairdii (prairie deer mouse) is the source of this 1573-nucleotide RNA transcript. It is a transcript of the gene named ribosomal protein uL24-like pseudogene, with no coding region annotated. The record is from RefSeq and is a predicted model, not a curated record. NCBI's taxonomy places the organism in Eukaryota, Metazoa, Chordata, Mammalia, Rodentia, Cricetidae.
CUCAUCCCACCUGGAUAAUAACAGAUGCCUGUCUCAAAUGGAGGAACUGCUGCCUACAGAUCAAGACCCUAAACCACUGCUGCAACACAAUGAUUCUGCGAAGCACUUCCUGAUGAAGCAGAUCUUAGAGCCUUUAUCCAGUUACUGAUGGAAGCAGAUGCAGAGAUCCACAGCCAAGCACUGGGAGGAGCUCCGGGAGUCCUCCUGAAGAAAGCUUCCCUGAAGGCAACCACAGCUCUGAAAAAAGCUCGGAGAACUGCCCAUCGGAAAACAGCUACAGGAUCAAUUCCAGUCAUCCCAGAGACAAAGGCAUUCCUGCUACUUCUCAGAAGAGCCACAAUGUCUGGACGCAUAUGAUCUGUAUUUUUUUCCCGAAAAUCCUAUGUGAAAAAAGUACCAGUAAUAUUUGUGAAAAAGACUAUUCAAAUCAAGAAGAUAAUAGGUGACAGGUUUGAAUGGUGCGUGAACAGAAAUUAUGAAAUUGAAUUCUAUUCUGAGUAGCUAUCUGAACAAGAUAUCUUCCAAAAAGUGCUGGCCAAGUCUGAAACUACUGAAUUAUGUAAUAAAUACAGAAUGAACACAAUUUUAUUGUGGAUUAUUAGACAGUCAAUUUGAAGGGGUAUUAGAUAAAAUGGUAAGAUAGCUAGCUAAAAGAGCCAGUCUUGAGAAAACUAGGCAAAAGAGCACCUUACUUGUUCUCUGUGGAGACAGUGGACAGGGUAGAAGUAAAGCAAUAAAGCAGGGGCAGAACAGAUGGGAAAAGUGCAAGUGGUGGGAAAAUAGACAAAUAACAUACUUAAGGUCUAUAAGGUAUAGCUUGGUUUUAUUUUGAUUCAUUCAAUGAUAAAAGGAAGGGAAAUGUAAUGAUAGCAGCCAGUUGGUGUUUUAUAAACAUCUGUGGCUGCACAGAGAAUGAAUAAUAUAGAAGAAUGAAGGACCUUUGUUAUUUUUGAUACCUAUAAUUUAUAUAUGUUUCUAUUAUCAGCUCUUUUUAUAGAACACUGUUUAUAUUACUAUGUAGAAUGGAACUAACAUUAGACUUUGUUGAUGUCUUUUUUUUUUUUUCCAAUUUUGGUGGGUUUUGUUUUGUUUUGAGACAGGGUAUCACUACAUAGCCCUGGGUGGUCCUGGGACUCAUUAUGUAGAGCAGGCUAGUUGAACUCAAAGAGAUCCUACUACUGCUGCCUCAGAAGUGCUGGGAUUAAAGGUGUAUGCCACCACCCCCAGAAGCUUUAUUGAUUUCUUUUUCAUUCUUUUUAUUGUGUUGAUUUCUGAUCUUUAUCAUGUCCUUCUCAUUCUACUGGGUUCAAUGUGCUGUUUUCCGAGUUUCUUGAGAUGAAAUAUGAUAUAAUUACUUUUCAACUUUUCAUCCUAAUUUCUUUUCAAGCAUUUGUCUAAAAUGAUUCUACAAACUUUAACAUACUGCAUUUCUAACUAAUCAGUUGAAAACAGAUCUUAUUAGAAUAGCAAGUAAUUUUAGUUGUGAUCUUCUAGAUUGGUUCAUCAACUACUUAGAAGAGUUUUGCUUAAUGUUUCCAUGCAAUACAGCAAUAAAAUGAAAUCUUGAGAUGAG